Molecule: ribosomal RNA, 245 nt
Filed under: uncultured bacterium
Lineage: Bacteria
Description: partial 16S ribosomal RNA
Rfam family: Bacterial small subunit ribosomal RNA
Source: RNAcentral
UACGUAGGUGGCAAGCGUUGUUCGGAUUUAUUGGGCGUAAAGGGCAUGUAGGCUGUUAUAUAAGUGUGAAUUGAAAGGCGCGGGCUCAACCCGCUGUUUGGUUUGCAAACUAUGUGACUAGAGUACAGAAGGGGAAACUGGAAUUCCGCGUGUAGGGGUGAAAUCUGUAGAUAUGCGGAAGAAUACUUGUGGCGAAGGCGAGUUUCUGGUCUGUAACUGACGCUGAAAUGCGAAAGUGUGGGGAG